UUACAGGACCUGGCCAGAGAGUUAUCGCGAGAGCAGCGAAGGCCUGGGGCAGGUUGGGGGCGUUCCCUGGAGCAGUAGAGGUGGAGGUCGCUGAGGGGUACGAUUUGGCUGUGGUUUUUGAGGGUUGAAGGGAACCCUCCCGACAUCUUUCACCGCCCUGGGUCCUGCCUUCGUUCUGAGGAGGUCCCGUUCCCAAGACUGGGCCUGAGCCGGAUAGUUCUCAGUGACUCCUGUAAAAAGGUCGUCUUACCCCACAAAGAAAUCAUGACCCACAAGUUGAGAACUGCUGACUUAGAAGGACAUUCUCCAUCCUUAUGAUAGUUAAUUCUUCAGACCAGGAAGAAUAAGAUAUGUCCAUAAUUCUUAUCUUUCAUAUUUUCAAGAUCAAGGUCAUUAUUUGUAUCAAAUACUGCUUCAACUUCUCUUGCAGGUAGCCCAGUGUGGAUAUGCUGCUGUUUUUUGCUUUGGGAUUGCUUAUCCAUUUUGUGUUCUUCGCUUCCAUCUUUGACAUUUAUUUUACAUCUCCUUUGGUUCAUGGAAUGACUCCCCAGUUUACACCUUUGCCUCCUCCAGCAAAAAGAUUAGUGCUAUUUGUUGCUGAUGGCCUGAGAGCAGAUACUCUUUAUGAAUUAGAUGAAGAUGGAAACUCCAGAGCACCUUUCAUUAGGAAUGUUAUAAUGCAUGAAGGCAGCUGGGGAGUAUCUCACACACGUGUGCCAACAGAAUCUCGGCCUGGCCAUGUAGCCUUGAUAGCUGGAUUUUAUGAGGAUGUCAGUGCAGUUGCCAAAGGAUGGAAAGAAAAUCCUGUAGAAUUUGACUCUCUUUUUAAUGAAAGCAAGUACACGUGGAGCUGGGGGAGUCCAGAUAUCUUGCCCAUGUUUGCCAAAGGUGCUAGUGGUGACCAUGUCUAUACAUAUAGUUACGAUGCUCAAAGAGAAGAUUUUGGUGCCCACGAUGCCACAAAACUGGAUACGUGGGUUUUUGAUAAAGUUAAGGACUUCUUUGAUGCUGCAAGAAACAACCAAUCUUUGUUCACAAAAGUAAAUGAAGAAAAAGUAGUUUUUUUCUUACAUUUAUUGGGAAUAGAUACAAAUGGACAUGCUCAUCGACCAUCGUCAAGGGAAUAUAAGGACAAUAUUAAAAAAGUUGAUGAUGGAGUGAAGGAAAUCGUAUCAAUUUUCAAGCAUUUUUAUGGAGAUGAUGGGAAAACAGCAUUUAUCUUUACCUCUGACCAUGGAAUGACAGACUGGGGUUCCCAUGGGGCUGGUCAUCCGUCAGAGACUUUAACUCCGUUCGUUACUUGGGGAGCUGGAAUCAAAUUUCCUCAAAAUGUAUCAGCUCAGCAAUAUGAUGAUGAGUUUUUAAAAGAAUGGAGAUUGGAAAACUGGAAAAGGAGAGAUGUCAAUCAGGCUGAUAUUGCACCUCUGAUGGCAUCCCUUAUUGGAGUCCCCUUUCCUCUUAAUUCGGUGGGAAUACUUCCUGUGGGUUAUCUUAACAACACUGGUCUCUUCAAAGCAGAGAGCAUGUUUACCAAUGCAGUACAGAUUCUUGAACAGUUCAAGGUGAAAAUGACUCAGAAAAAAGAAGCCACUUUACCGUUUUUGUUUACACCAUUUAAGUUGCUUUCUGAUUCUCAACAACUGGACAUUUUAAGAAAAGCAAGAUCUUACAUAAAACAAGAAAAAUUUGAUGAAGUAGUGUCCCUCUGUGAGGAGCUGAUUGACCUCGCCCUGAGAGGAUUGUCCUAUUAUCAUACUUAUGACAGACUGUUUCUGGGCAUCAAUGUUGCAGUUGGUUUUGUGGGAUGGAUGUCUUAUACUUCUUUGUUAAUCAUCAAGUCGCAUUCUAAUAUCCCAAAAGGCACUAGGAAGGAAGAAGCCACACUGUCUCCUGCUUUAUAGCUUCAUAGCUACUGGUGUCUUAGUAGCAUGCUUCCUGAUGAUCCAAGCCUGUCCCUGGACUUACUAUGUGUACUGCUUGCUGCCAGUGCCUAUAUGGUAUGCAGUUCUAAGAGAACAUGAAGUUAUUCAAGACCUGGUUGAAUCACUAUUGACUUUUCCUCGGAGCCAUUUUGUUGCCUACUUGCUUGUCUUUACCUUGGGUAUUGAAGUACUGGUGCUCAGUUUCUUCUACCGCUACAUGUUGACAGCGGGACUGAUUGUGUUUGCAGGCUGGCCGUUUCUCACUCAGCUGUGGACCCGAGCAAAGAUCACCUUCCUGAGUUGGGCUUUCUUCUCUUUGCUUCUGGCAGUGUUCCCACUGAUGCCUGUCGUGGGUAGAAAGCCAAACCUUUCUCUAGUAAUGGGUGCUGGAUUCCUGGUUCUUCUGCUGUCGCUGGCUGUUGUAACAACUCUCGGAAAAAGAAACAUUAAAUUGGUAAAGGGCGAGCUGUUGGUACUUCUGUUACAGAUGCUGAGUACAGUGCUCUCUAUGUAUGUGGUGUAUAGCACCCACCACAGUCUGUUAAAGAAAGAAGGCCUGCCUCUUAUGAAUCAGAUUGUGAGCUGGGCAACAUUAGCCUCUUCUCUGGUGGCACCACUCCUGAGCUCCACAGCUCUCUCUCAGCGACUGGCCAGCAUACUCCUCUCCUUGAUGUCCACCUACCUGCUCCUAAGCACUGGGUAUGAAGCUCUCUUUCCUUUAGUGCUGUCCUGUUUGAUGUUUGUCUGGAUCCAAGUGGAACAAGAGACCCUUCAACAGCCUGGUGUUUCUUGUAAACAGAAGCUCACCAGCAUCCAGUUCACCUGUGACACUGAUAUAGCUCAGUUCCGACAGCUCUGUCCGGAUGACAUCCGUAGGGCCUUUUUCCUAGUUUUCUUUUUAUUAACUGCAUUUUUUGGAACUGGAAAUAUAGCUUCUAUUAACAGCUUCGACCUUGCCUCUGUGUAUUGCUUUCUGACUGUGUUUAGUCCUUUCAUGAUGGGAGCGCUCAUGAUGUGGAAGAUUUUAAUUCCUUUUGUUCUUGUGAUGUGUGCUUUUGAAGCAGUUCAGAUAACUACACAGCUGUCCUCAAAAGGUCUUUUUCUUGUUGUUCUCAUCAUAUCAGACAUCAUGGCUUUGCAUUUUUUCUUCCUGGUCAAGGAUUCUGGCAGCUGGCUUGAUAUUGGAACAAGCAUCAGCCACUAUGUGAUUGUCAUGUCCAUGACCAUCUUCCUGGUAUUUCUUAAUGGCCUGGCACAAUUGCUCACAACAAAGAAACUCCAACUGUGUGGCAAACCCAAAAGUCAUCUUAUGUGAUGUUGGUGAAGCCAUCAGUCAGCAUGCAUCCUGAUUCUCCUUCUUAAAGAAAAGUCCCACUAAGGAUUCAAGAAAAUGGAUAUUGGACCAGCAAAAUGGCUCAGUGGGUAAAAGUUCUUGUUGCACAAGCUGACAACCUGAGUUUGAUCCCUGGAACCCACACUGGAAGGAGAAAAUAGACUUCCAAAGGUUGUCCUUUAGCCCCCAAGUACAUGCUGUGACACACACACACACACAUUGCACUUGCACAUAUGUCAUGCAUGUAUACAUCACAUGCAUACAUGAUGACACUGCAGUUUUAAGAGAUGAUGGAUAAUAAUGCACAGUACAUUCUCAUCUAGAGAAUGUUGCAUCUGGCAUUCUGGAUUUAAAGGUGUUCUGAAAUAAUAGUUUUUCUUUUGUCUGACAGCUUUUCCCAGUAAUGUUUGAGAGCACCUGCAGCCCUUUGCUCCUCACUGUCAACUUCAUGUACCUGUGGGGGUGGUACUGACACUCUACAAAGUCAUUCCCAAGUGGUGACUGAAUGGAACCACAGGUUACAACAUAAACCCAGCAUUGACUUGCUUUUGUGGUAGCUCUGACUUCUAGAAGGGCUGCAAUCUGGGAUUUACUGAGCCUCUGAGCAAAGCUGUCUGCCAGGCUUUGCCAUUUCUGCUCCUGCAGUACGUUGGCUUGUGCCUCUCUGUGCCACUUCCGGGAUUCUCAUAGUCAGCCAAUUAGCAAAGCUUUCACCUUUACAUUUUGUCAACUUCUGGAUCAUCUUCAAAUUUUGGGAGACUCUGUGGCUUUGUUGAUUAUUGUUUCAGUGUCAGUCCCCAAAUCAGUGGCUGUAGUUUCCUAACAGUAUCAUAAAGAAUCAAAUAAACUUGCUACUCUUUUGUCUUGAUAUUCUAGCUAGACCAAAGGCCAGCCAUCUUAAUAGAGUGAGCUUUUCCUUUAUAUAUUCUAAUAUAUGAGGUAAUUUGAGAGUAAUUUUUAUUUGCGUUUUCCAUAAAGUGACCUAUACAGUGUAGAGUUACCUGUACAAUACUGUUAAGUGCUUGGCUGAUAUUUUGCUGGUAUAUAUCCCAUUUUAAAAAACAGUUGCUUUUUUGAUUCAAGUUAUAUUACUAGUCUACAAUGAUGACCAAAAAGCUCUUUACAAGUUUUUAAACUUUUCAAAUUGGCAGGUAAGGAAAUAUGUAUCUAGAAGAGUAAGCUCAGCUGAGCAAAAUAUACUUUAUUUUCUACUGAUAUGUCAGGAGACCCAUUAUAGUGAAUUAAGCGAGAAGUACUAAUCCUAGCACGGGCAUCACUGUGGGACAGUCCAGGUGGCAGCUAUGCUGACACAGGCAGAACAGGGCCCAGCUAGUUUCCUAGACCCUCAGGUGACUUCUGACCCCAUUAUAUGAACACUUACCACAUUCCUCAUCUGCAGGGGUUAAUUUUAAGUAAGUGUGUGUGUGUGUGUGUGUGUGUGUUCAUGCACAUGAGCACAGGUGCCCUCAGAGUCCAUAAGAGGGUGUUAGAUCCCUGAAGCUAUAGUUACAAAUUGUGAGUUGUAAGAUACCUAACAUGGGUACUGAGAACCAAACUUGGGUCCUCUGCAAGAAUAAUAUUUACUUUUUAAGUACUGAGACAUCUCUCCAAUUCCAGAAUUAAUGUUUUUAAACUAACAGAGUAAGUGGUGCUUUCUGCCUUGUAUUUUGCAUUGUAUUCUCCAAAGUACAUUCUUAUGUCUGGGCUGCUUCCAGUCUGUAGAAGGCACUGCUUCUGCAAUUGCAGCACUCCCUGCAGCACUGACACUCACAUUCACUGGGGGAGGGAGCACUCUUCCCUCUGGCACAGUGUUUCUCAUAUCUUGAAAUGUAUAUUUUUGUACUGAAUAGCAGAAGUAAAUGAGAUUUAGGCAACAUUUUUAUUUCUCUUUAAGGUAUUUUCUUCCUUUUGUUAAUAUUAUACUAGGUUUCAAAACAAAAACUUACAAAAUGUGCCAGUCAGCACUGUUUAAAUUAGUAAGUGCUUUAGAAAGUAGGGAUAAACUGGUAUGAUGGCAGAUAUCUGUAAUCCCAGCACUAGGGAGGUGUAGGCAGGAGAUCAUGAGUUGAAGGUCAUAGAAAAUUAGACACCAGCCUGUGCUUCUAAAGCCCUAUGUUUUCUAAAAAGAAUUAAAGUAGGUAUCUCAAGGUGAAAUUAAUUAAAAUAGUGAAUGACAGCUGAAUCAUGAAUGAAUCUUUGUUUACUGACUAUAUAAUGGUCAUAAUUUGAUAAGUUCUUUGUAUUUUAUUAUUUAGUGUAUAAAGUCUUAGAACACAAAAUGCUUUCUUACAUUUUAGAAAAAAAUGUAUUACAAGCUGAUGUGGUGACACAGGCCUGACUAUAAUCCCAAAGUUUACAAGGCUGAGGAGGAGGAUCACAUGUUCAGGGUCAGCAUAAACACCACAUGUUACGUGAGACCCUGUAUUAGGAAACAAUGAGGUAGGGGACUGUUGUAUUAUAAGAUGGCUGUAUGUGAAGAAUGAUGUAACCUAAUUAUCAGGGAACUGAACUUGAAAGUGACUCAUAAGUUAGUGUGGCUUCUCAUGAAAACCUCAUUCCAGAUUUCAUGCUACUUACACAUCAGUCCUCCUCCCUGCUACCGCCUGCACCUUUACAUACUGUUAGCAAUCGAGGGUUCCUUUGUUCUUCCUUUUGAAACUAGAUUCUAAUGCUAGUAGUUCAGGGGGUAGUGAAGUGCUACACAGUCAUGCCUUUAGAGACAGGCAGCAGCUAAGUGUUCCCCUCUCCUUGUGGGAGCCAAGCGAGUUCAUUUUCCCAUUAGAUGCCAUCUCAUCAGGAAGCUAGAAUGACACUGAAACAACUCAGUAAUGGAGAGUUUCCAUGUCCCACUAGUACUCAGGAGCCUUUAAGAGACCAAAGGUAGCCUGAUCAGGGGCUCUCCUUUCCUCAAUAGUGCUUAAGAUUAUUGUGCUGUGUGCUUUCUGUCCCUGGUAAUGUCUUGGCAGCAUUUCCCAUUUCCUCCCUGGUAUAGUUUGUAAAAAUAGAUUUCUCAAUGUAAUUCUGUUAAGAAAUAAAAAUGUUUGACUUGUAUAUGUCACUAAUUUUCUCUAGUACACUAAAAUAGAUUGUUAAUGGACUCACCAUUGGAAUUGUAAUAUUUAUGUGCAGUUUUGAAAAUUGUUUCAAAGCAUCACUUGUUGAUGAAUAAAUAUAUAAUAAAAGGGUUCUCUGAUGAAGUGUUUAGGAAACAUCUAGGUUAGAAGGUUUAAAGGUGCAUUUAUUUCUGGUAGUUAUAUGAAUUUAUUCAGGAUGCCCACAACUUCCAUAUGUCUGGCAGCAGAGUGUUUCCUCCCUCUUGGUGGGAGACAUAUAUUUUACAAAAGUUUUUAUGUACUUUUCUAAAAAAUUUUUACAAACAAGUGUUGUGCAUUUAAUUGAAGCUUUUCUUGGCAACUUGUAAAGUGUGUUCAUUCUAACUGUUAAACUGAGAAAACUUGAGAACAUACUGGGGAUUUUGCCUGCACAUCCCUGUCUGUGCAGUAUGGAGUUUCAUCUCUUUUGCAUCCUCAACCUGAAAAAAAUAAAAUCACAACUCUCAACUGG
This is an RNA transcript of Mus musculus (house mouse), 6819 nucleotides long. It is a transcript of the gene named phosphatidylinositol glycan anchor biosynthesis, class N, with no coding region annotated. The transcript is spliced from 31 exons. NCBI's taxonomy places the organism in Eukaryota, Metazoa, Chordata, Mammalia, Rodentia, Muridae. The record is from RefSeq and is marked validated.